This is a non-coding RNA of Galeopterus variegatus (Sunda flying lemur), 231 nucleotides long. NCBI's taxonomy places the organism in Eukaryota, Metazoa, Chordata, Mammalia, Dermoptera, Cynocephalidae. The record is from the annotation of a RefSeq genome assembly.
ACUUCUGGAUACAGCUUUACCACCUACUGGAUCAGCUGGUUGUGCCAGGCUCCAGGGCAAGGCCUGGAGUGGUUGGGGAGGAUUGGUCCUGGUGAAUCGGGUAUGCCAUAUGGCCCAUCCUUCCAAGGCCAUGUCACACUCUCUACUGAAAAAUCCACCAGCAUCGCCCACCUGCAGUGGAGCAGCCUGAAGUCCUCAGACACUGCUGUGUAUUACUGUGCCAGAGACACA